AAUUGGAGGGCAAGUCUGGUGCCAGCAGCCGCGGUAAUUCCAGCUCCAAUAGCGUAUAUUAAAGUUGUUGCAGUUAAAAAGCUCGUAGUUGAAUUUCGGGAUCAGUACGCUGGUCGUGCCUCCGGUAUGUACUGGUGUCACUGAUUCCUCCCUUCUGAAGAACUAUCAUGCCAUUCACUUGGUGUGGUGGGGAAUCAGGACUGUUACUUUGAAAAAAUUAGAGUGUUUAAAGCAGGCUCGCGCUUGAAUACAUUAGCAUGGAAUAAUGAAAUAGGACGUUUAUCCUAUUUUGUUGGUUUCUAGGAUUGACGUAAUGAUUAAUAGGGAUAGUUGGGGGCAUUAGUAUUCAAUUGUCAGAGGUGAAAUUCUUGGGUUUAUUGAAGACUAACUACUGCGAAAGCAUUUGCCAAGGAUGUUUUCAUUAAUCAAGAACGAAAGUUAGGGGAUCGAAGACGAUCAGAUACCGUCGUAGUCUUAACCAUAAACUAUGCCGACUAGGGAUCGGAUGAUGUUAAUUUUUUAAUGACUCAUUCGGCGCCUUACGGGAAACCAAAGUGU
RNAcentral lists this ribosomal RNA (558 nucleotides) under uncultured Glomus. Its description in RNAcentral is "SSU rRNA". It matches the Rfam family "Eukaryotic small subunit ribosomal RNA", at positions 546 to 1106 of the family's 1831-position model. The record is from RNAcentral. Lineage: Eukaryota; Fungi; Glomeromycota; Glomeromycetes; Glomerales; Glomeraceae.